Molecule: non-coding RNA, 1113 nt
Organism: Schizosaccharomyces pombe (fission yeast)
Lineage: Eukaryota; Fungi; Ascomycota; Schizosaccharomycetes; Schizosaccharomycetales; Schizosaccharomycetaceae
Source: the annotation of a GenBank genome assembly
UAUAGGUAACUUAUAUUUAUCUCGGGAAACUUGAAUUAAAUGACGAGCUUUCUUUAUAAACGAAAGAUAUGGUGUUGAUUUCUGACGCAGGCAUGCAACAACGUCGUCAAAAGAAUCAUUUUGUGAAGAGGGAAGGAAAUAGACUUUUUGAAUUUCGGAAAAUAUGUGAUCGCUUAUUAAAAAAUGUUUGCUUUCUGUAAGCAAAAAGUGUAACAAUGAGAUUUUAGCAUAUGGGCUAGGCUUCGAAGUUUUGUACACAAAUUUCAAAAGGUCUGAAAAAGAAGCUGAAUUGUCAAGUUUAUUUGGAAUAUUGAAUUCUGUCAAUAUUCGCAAAAAUUCAUUUCGGUGACUUCGACUUAAAUCUUGUGCUCUUUGAGAGAUUUUUUUUAAUAACUUUAUAGUGAAAGGUAGGACAUCAGAAGGAACAGAAACAUCAGAAAGAGGUUGCUGCACCUCUUUCAGCUUUUUAAAGACAUUAGGACAUCUCAGUAAAACUCUAGAUGUACGAAAUUCCUUAAUAGUACCGUUUUCGUUAAUGCUGGUCAAUACAUUACUAUAGUUCCAAACAUUAGUACCAGUGCAUGCAGCAAGUUCAAUGCCUUCGGAGCCCCUAUAAAACACUAGCAAAUCUCCACGAUCGUACUGUCUAAAAUUCUCACUGCUGAAAUCUUCUAAAUCAAAAGAAUACUCAAAAUCAUUUUCCAACUUCUCUUCCUCAGAUUUUGUAGUAGUAGGACAAACAGCAGCGCGUUUGUCCUUCUCGAACUUGUCUUUCAACCACUGUCUAAUGUUUCCAUGAUUUUCUAAUUCAGAGAAAAAUUUUUUAAGGUUUUCCUCAUUCACGGAUUUCAAAUUAGCAUUUUUAAAUCGAUCAAUAAGAUCUGAUUGAGUAUGCUUCAAACGCGCACCACAAUGUCCCCAAAGAUGAUGAUCGUUUGCUGGUUGUUUCCCGAAAUUUAUUAGGCAUCCAGUUAUGCGGAAAUAUUUCAAAACUUUUGAACUGGAAGGGCAAGCAUGAUGAAAUUUCCUUGUAAGUUUACAAGGAGACAAUUUUAAAGACAGGCAUACACGUUUUAAUAAAUAAUUAGACUCUAAAUUAACAUUUUGAAGAAG